CCUACGGGAGGCUGCAGUGAGGAAUAUUGGUCAAUGGACGCAAGUCUGAACCAGCCAUGCCGCGUGCAGGAAGACGGCUCUAUGAGUUGUAAACUGCUUUUGUACGAGGGUAAACGCAGAUACGCGUACCUGUCUGAAUGUAUCGUACGAAUAAGGAUCGGCUAACUCCGUGCCAGCAGCCGCGGUAAUACGGAGGAUUCAAGCGUUAUCCGGAUUUAUUGGGUUUAACGGGUGCGUAGGCGGUCGGAUAAGUUAGAGGUGAAAUCCCGAGGCUCAACUUCGGAAUUGCCGUUGAUACUGUACGGCUAGAGAGUAGUGGAGGUAGGCGGAAUGUAUGGUGUAGCGGUGAAAUGCUUAGAGAUCAUACAGAACACCGAUUGCGAAGGCAGCUUACCAGGCUACUUCUGACGUUGAGGCACGAAAGCGUGGGGAGCAAACAGGAGUAGAUACCCGUGUAGUC
This 460-nucleotide ribosomal RNA is filed under the name uncultured bacterium. RNAcentral describes it as "partial 16S ribosomal RNA". It matches the Rfam family "Bacterial small subunit ribosomal RNA", at positions 338 to 795 of the family's 1533-position model. The record is from RNAcentral.